UCUGAUCCAGAGCCACUACAGUAGUGAGUCAUUUAGCAGACUCUCUGAGUAGAGCCACUACAGUAGUGAGUCAUUUAGCAGACUCUCUUAUCCAGAGCCACUACAGUAGUGAGUCAUUUAGUAGACUCUCUGAGUAGAGCCACUACAGUAGUGAGUCAUUUAGUAGACUCUCUGAUCCAGAGCCACUACAGUAGUGAGUCAUUUAACAGACUCUCUGAGUAGAGCCACUACAGUAGUGAGUCAUUUAGUAGACUCUCUGAUCCAGAGCCACUACAGUAGUGAGCCAUUUAGUAGAGUCACUACAGUAGUGAGUCAUUUAGUAGACUCUCUGAUCCAGAACCACUACAGUAGUGAGUCAUUUAGCAGACUCUCUGAUCCAGAGCCACUACAGUAGUGAGUCAUUUAGCAGACUCUCUGAUCCAGAGCCACUACAGUAGUGAGCCAUUUAGUAGACUCUCUGAGUAGAGCCACUACAGUAGUGAGUCAUUUAGUAGACUCUCUGAUCCAGAGCCACUACAGUAGUGAGUCAUUUAGCAGACUCUGAUCCAGAGCCACUACAGUAGUGAGCCAUUUAGUAGAGUCACUACAGUAGUGAGUCAUUUAGUAGACUCUCUGAUCCAGAACCACUACAGUAGUGAGUCAUUUAGCAGACUCUCUGAUCCAGAGCCACUACAGUAGUGAGUCAUUUAGCAGACUCUCUGAUCCAGAGCCACUACAGUAGUGAGCCAUUUAGUAGACUCUCUGAGUAGAGCCACUACAGUAGUGAGUCAUUUAGUAGACUCUCUGAGUAGAGCCACUACAGUAGUGAGUCAUUUAGUAGAGUCACUACAGUAGUGAGUCAUUUAGUAGACUCUCUGAUCCAGAACCACUACAGUAGUGAGUCAUUUAGCAGACUCUCUGAUCCAGAGCCAAUACAGUAGUGAGUCAUUUAGCAGAGUCUCUGAUCCAGAGCCACUACAGUAGUGAGUCAUUUAGCAGACUCUCUGAUCCAGAGCCUCUACAGUAGUGAGUCAUUCAACAGACUCUCUGAUCCAGAGCCACUAUAGCAGUGAGUCAUUUAACAGACUCUCUGAUCAAGAGCCACUACAGCAGUGAGUGCGUACAUUUUCAUAUGGGAAUCGACCCCACAACGCUCUACCAACUGAGCCACACUGAACCUUCCUACUGUAUACUGGUAGGAAUUUGAACCAGUUUGUUACAACAGGAAAAUAAUUGUGCAGCAACAGGAAAUGUGUAUUAUAAUGAAUGGUAAGAGGCUGCGCUCUUUGGUCUUUACUAAAAAUCAUAGUGCAUAAAUAAAACACAAAGACGCAAAAAUUUGUGUUCUCAGGCCGUCCUCAGUGUGGAUGUCAGCGCACACACUCCUGUCUUCUACAGAUCAUUUCAUGUCACAUGGCCAAGAAAGAAAACAUCAAAGCAUAACAGAAGGUACAGUGAUCACUAACCUGUCCUCCAAGCCUUGCUUGUCAAUCACCAAAUAUACUUUAUGGCCAAAAGUAUGUGAACACCUGCUUGUUGAACAACAUCAUUAUAAAAUCAUGGGCUUUAAUAUGGAGUUAGUCC
Molecule: long non-coding RNA, 1563 nt
Organism: Oncorhynchus masou masou (cherry salmon)
Lineage: Eukaryota; Metazoa; Chordata; Actinopteri; Salmoniformes; Salmonidae
Exons: 3
Source: RefSeq, a predicted model, not a curated record